AACGAACGCUGGCGGCAGGCCUAACACAUGCAAGUCGAACGAACCUUUCGGGGUUAGUGGCGGACGGGUGCGUAACACGUGGGAACGUGCCUUUAGGUUCGGAAUAACUCAGGGAAACUUGUGCUAAUACCGAAUGUGCCCUUCGGGGGAAAGAUUAAUCGCCUUUAGAACGGCCCGCGUCUGAUUAGCUAGUUGGUUGGGGUAAUGGCUCACCAAGGCGACGAUCAGUAGCUGGUCUGAGAGGAUGAUCAGCCACAUUGGGACUGAGACACGGCCCAAACUCCUACGGGAGGCAGCAGUGGGGAAUAUUGCGCAAUGGGCGAAAGCCUGACGCAGCCAUGCCGCGUGAAUGAUGAAGGUCUUAGGAUUGUAAAACUCUUUCACCGGGGACGAUAAUGACGGUACCCGGAGAAGAAGCCCCGGCUAACUUCGUG
RNAcentral lists this ribosomal RNA (434 nucleotides) under uncultured bacterium. Its description in RNAcentral is "partial 16S ribosomal RNA". It matches the Rfam family "Bacterial small subunit ribosomal RNA", at positions 29 to 507 of the family's 1533-position model. The record is from RNAcentral.